This 342-nucleotide long non-coding RNA is filed under the name Rattus norvegicus (Norway rat). RNAcentral describes it as "long non-coding RNA NONRATT002613". The record is from RNAcentral. Lineage: Eukaryota; Metazoa; Chordata; Mammalia; Rodentia; Muridae.
CCCGGGGCCCCCAGCCUGGCCCUUCCGCCUCCUCACUCCUUUCCCAGUUCCGAAGUCCUUCCUGGCAGACAGCCAUGCACACACCAGGCCCCACGGAACUCUUCAUCUCUGGUGCCCUCCCAGGUUCCAGCACCUUCCCGUCUUCCUCUGCCCUGUCUGCCUACCAGCACCCGGCUUCCUUCGGCAGCCGCCCCUUCCCAGUGCCCUCAUCCCUCAGCCUCCAGGAUCCACCCUUCAGUCCUCCUGCUAAUGGGCUCUUGUCCCCCCAUGAUGUGCUCCACCUGAAGCCCUCCCAGGCUCCUACAGUGCCCUCUUCAUUGGGUUUUGAGCGCCUGGCAGGGG